RNAcentral lists this long non-coding RNA (848 nucleotides) under Homo sapiens (human). Its description in RNAcentral is "HSALNT0245091". Lineage: Eukaryota; Metazoa; Chordata; Mammalia; Primates; Hominidae. The record is from RNAcentral.
CAUAGAACAGGGAACAACAGCUUCCGCUGUGUCGAGUGUCUACUAUGCGCCAGGAGCCACUCCAGCUGUUCCAGGAAGAUCAUCUGUAAUCCUCACCACGGCUCUAAGUUAGGCAAAAUUGAAACCCUCAUUUUAUAGAUGAGGCCUCUGAGGCACAGAGAGGUUAAGUGACUCACCCAAGGUCACACAGCUAGUAACUGGAGGGCAAGGAAGCCUCGUGACUUGAGUGUGCAGCGUUGCCUUAUUGAAUGCCUCAAAGCCUUUGCCUCCUUCUCCAGGGACCAGCUGGGUCAUGUGUUCGUCGGAGCAGGACCCAAACUGUGAGUUCUGGAGGCUGAAAGGUUCAAGGUCAAGGGACUGCAUCUGGUGAGGGCCUUCUUGCUCAUUUGGACUCUAUAUGGAGUCCCGAGGCAGCACAGGGCAUCACAGGAUGCAGUUUUGCCACGUUGGCCAGGCUGGUCUAGAACUCCUGACCUCAAGUGAUCUACCCUCCUCGGCCUCCCAAAGUGCUGGGAUUAGAGGUGUGCACCACUGCCCCCAGCCCAUGAGCCACUGCACCCAGCUCAGUAAGCACUUUAAAAGAAGACCUGGACAUCAGAGCCUCUCUCCUGCUGGUUUUGAAGAAGCAAGCUGCCACAAGUCUACAGCUGUAAGGAAAUGAAUUGUGCCAACGAUCCCAUGUGCUUGAAAGAGGACCCUGAACCUCAGAUGAGACCCAGUCCCAGGAGACAGAUUGAGUGCUGCCUCUCAGGACCCUGAACAGAGGAGCCAGUUGAACCAUCAACAGGCUCCUGACCCACAGAAACUGUGAGACAAUAAACGUGUAUUGUCUUAAGCUCCUAAGUGUG